UUAUGGCUAUAUCACAUUGAAACACCAGUUCUCAUACAAUCACAAGUUAAGCAACAUUGAGCCUAGUCAGCACCUAGCUGGGGGGACCACCUGGGAAUACCAGGUGCUGUAAG
Molecule: non-coding RNA, 113 nt
Organism: Acanthosepion pharaonis
Lineage: Eukaryota; Metazoa; Mollusca; Cephalopoda; Sepiida; Sepiidae
Source: the annotation of a GenBank genome assembly